CUCUCUUUAUCCCUCUAUCUCUUUCUUCAUCAAAUCUUCUUUUGUUCAAAGUCUCUCUCAUCAUUUUUCUCUAUACACAUACAUGCAUCCACAUACAUACAUACAUAUACCAUCAUCUUCUUUUCUCAUCUCUAGUUUUUGUUUAUAAAUUUUGUUCCAAGGAUCUGUAUCUCUCCAAUAAAGAUACAUACAAAUUAUUGUUGUCAUAGAUCUAUUAGAAUUGCUUUAACUUUUAUAUGAGAUCUAGGAUUUCUUCCUUUUCUUUCAAAAUUUGCUGCAUAUUUUUCAAAAUCAUGAUUUAUCGCUUGCUAGGUUCUAGAUCCAUGCAAAUUUAGAGUAUUUUUACACACACACACGCUUGGACACAAGUACAUACAUGUAGUUUUCUUUUAUGUGGUGAAAAGUACAUAACAUGUAGUUUAUAGUUACUAGUCGCUAUAUAAUUUAAAAUUGAUGUUAUAGGAAUAUAUGUACGGAGAGAGCUUCCUUGAGUCCAUUCACAGGUCGUGAUAUGAUCCAAUUAGCUUCCGACUCAUUCAUCCAAAUACCGAGUCUCACCAAAAUUGGAACAAGACUUGUUAAAUGAAUGAAUGAUGCGGUAGACAAAUUGGAUCAUUGAUUCUCUUUGAUUGGACUGAAGGGAGCUCCCUUUCUUCUUGGCAUCUCCUUGCACAGGAGAAGAAGAAUAUGACCGAUUCCAGAUAUUCAAAUCUGGUAUAUCUAGAUGUCCUCAUACCUCUCUGUAUUAAUAUAUGUAAUCUUCACAAUAUCUUCUCUCCCUCCGGUUGCCAUCGUUCUAGGUUAACAAAAAUUUGAACCCUAAAUUGCAAAUUAGGUUUUUACUUUUGUAUUUCAUUACCAGUUCUCAAGGAAAGAGACGAUGUGUGUGUAUAAACAUGUAUGUGUAAUGUUUUUGA
Capsella rubella is the source of this 917-nucleotide long non-coding RNA. RefSeq lists it as uncharacterized. The transcript is spliced from 2 exons. The record is from RefSeq and is a predicted model, not a curated record. NCBI's taxonomy places the organism in Eukaryota, Viridiplantae, Streptophyta, Magnoliopsida, Brassicales, Brassicaceae.